GACAAGGUGGCUGAAUGGAUUAAAGCAGCAGAUUGCAAAUCUGUUUUUUGCAGGUUCAAAUCCUGUCCUUGUCU
Molecule: transfer RNA, 74 nt
Filed under: Bacteroidota bacterium
Lineage: Bacteria; Pseudomonadati; Bacteroidota
Also listed under: 3 other names
Description: tRNA-Cys
Rfam family: tRNA
About the family: Transfer RNA (tRNA) molecules are approximately 80 nucleotides in length. Their secondary structure includes four short double-helical elements and three loops (D, anti-codon, and T loops).
Source: RNAcentral